UGACCCCACCGGCAGUGGCACCGGUGGUGAAAGUAUAUAUGGAAGUGUUUUUCCUGAUGAGUUCCAUUCACGUCUAAGAUUCAACCACAGGGGGAUUGUUGCGUGUGCAAAUGCUGGUACACCACAUUCUAAUGGGAGUCAAUUCUUUAUUUCCUUGGAUAAGUGUGAUUGGCUUGAUCGAAAGAGUACCAUUUUUGGAAAGGUGACUGGAGAUUCAAUAUAUAAUCUUUUAGCCAUUGGUGAGGUUGAAACUGAUAAAAAUGAUUGGCCAUUAGAUCCAUCCCCAAAAAUCAAAUCAGUUGAGGUAUUAUGGAACCCUUUUGAAGAUAUUGUCCCUAGGGCGCCCUCCAAGCCUUUAACACAAUCUGCAACUGAUAUCGAAAAUAAAGAUUCAAAGAAGAAACCCGUGAAAAAGUUGAACUUACUUUCGUUUGGAGAGGAGGCUGAAGAAGAGGAGAAGGAAUUAGCAGCUGUAAAACAAAAAAUCAGGAGUAGUCAUGAUGUAUUGGAUGAUCCUCGUCUCCUGAAGGGACAACAUCCAAGUGAAGAAUUGAAUUCAUCUGAAGCCAAAGCAACAAGGGAUCUGCAGUUAUCUGUAAGAGAAGCAUUAAGCUCAAAGAAGGAUGUAUCACAGAAAGAUUUAGAUGCCGAAUUUUCUAAUAGUGAUGAUGAUGAUGAUGAGGUCAACUUUGAUGCACGAAUGCGCCAACAAAUACUUAGAAAAAGAAUGGACCUGGGAGGUCUCUCAUCUAAGCAAAAGAAAAAUGGGAGCACUAGCCCAAAAGAUCAUCAAAUUUCUGUGCCCAGGUCUACUGCUGAAAGCAUUGAUGAUGACCACCCAAGGGUGGAAAAGCUGUCACUGAAGAAAAAGGGAAUAGGAUCUGAAGCCAGAGCUGAACGCAUGGCUAAGGCAGAUGUAGAUUUACAGUUAUUCAGUGAAGCUGAACAAGGAAGACUAUUGCAAAAACAGAAGAAGCGCAGAAUUCAAGGACGUGAGGAUGAGGUUUUAGCAAAACUUGAGAAGUUUAAGAAGGCUGUUUCUGCAAAGGCUGAUACCUCAAACAGUGAGACCGGAGGUGCUUAUAAAGAGGAUUUGUCUGACUGGAGUUCUGUCCGCCUAAAGUUUGCACCUGAACCUGGCAAGGAUCGUAUGACUCGCAAAGAUGACCCAAAUGACUAUGUUGUGCAUGACCCCCUUUUGGAGAAAGGGA
This 1211-nucleotide unclassified non-coding RNA is filed under the name Hevea brasiliensis (rubber tree). Lineage: Eukaryota; Viridiplantae; Streptophyta; Magnoliopsida; Malpighiales; Euphorbiaceae. The record is from RNAcentral.